Acinonyx jubatus (cheetah) is the source of this 1422-nucleotide long non-coding RNA. RefSeq lists it as uncharacterized. The record is from RefSeq and is a predicted model, not a curated record. The transcript has 3 exons. NCBI's taxonomy places the organism in Eukaryota, Metazoa, Chordata, Mammalia, Carnivora, Felidae.
GCGGCCGGGCGGCCAUUCAGGAGAGGCCGUUUCGCAACAGCUCUUUUACUGCAGACAAAGCCUCCUUGUAAGUCCCUCUGCUGCCCCCGAAUAACCACGUUCGGAGUAAGAAAAAUAGAGCUGCUGCGCCCGUCAGGCAGCCAGACAAUAGCGGCGGGCGGGCCGCUCCACGCCACAGGGCAAAACACCAUCAUCUUUGUUUCCACUGCGUCCCUAAGAUGAAGUCUCUAGAUACUAUCGUAGCGACGCGGCCGCGGAGGGGGAAACGACCGCGGCCCGCCGACCUCAUCCGUUCCCUUCUGGGGGCUGGGCCGCGGCGGCCACCUCUGGAAGCGGAGGCCCGCGCGCUUCGCCGUCGCCCCUCGGAGGCGGAGGAGGCAGCGCGGCGGCGUCGCUUGGCGCCGCGCCCACGCCGACGACCCGGCUCCCGCGCCCGGUGGCCGAGGAGGGAAGUAGCGCCGUCCGCGCGCGGAGGGAAACGCCGGGGCGGCGCGGCGUGAAGCGCCCAGGCACGCGGCCCGAUCGGCGGCCCGCGCGGUGACGCGGUGUGGCGGUAGCUGCGGCCGCCCCUCCGCGCCCCCGGAACUCCGCGGCGGUCCCGCCUCCGCUCGUGGAAGUGGCCGCGGCGGGCCGCUCAGCGGCAGCCGGCUGCUCCCCCGAGGCCGGCGGCUGCGCCGGGGGCUCCGACCUCGGGGAGCCUCCGCGCGGCCUGAGUCCCGAGCUGUCCGGCCCCAGCCUGUGCGAGGCCAGGCCCCAUCCGCCCCUGGAGCUGGACGGCAGGUGCCGCAGGUCGGGCUCCGGGGCGUGGUGUGCGGAGCCGCCGGGCUGACCGACUGGCGGGAGUCGGCCUGGGGCCCCUCCUCAGACUCCACGGCUGGGCUCCCUGAGCCUUGGGCCCCUCCACGGUGAAGCAGGAUGGUUGUGAGCAUUCCAGGCUGAUUCAUCUAAUGGGAAUUUGAAUGCUGGUGGAAAACUGUACAGAAAAUCCAGUGCUCUGGAAAGUGAUUCCGGAAAGGAGUAAAAAGAAGACUGCUAUUCAAGAAAGUACCUUACUUUUGGUUAAUUCUAAUAGGUCAUUCCAUUUUGGGCCCUUUAGUUUCUUUUUUCAUCUUCCUAUAAUUUUGUUUAUGUAUUCAGUACAACACCCAGUGCUCAUCACAAGUGCCCUCCUUAGUACCCAUUGCCCAUCUAGCCCAUCUCCCACCCACCUCCCUUCAUCAACCCUCAGUUUGUUCUGUCGUUAAGAGUCUCUUAUGGUCAGGGGCGCCUGGGUGGCUCAGUCGGUUGAGCGACUGACUUCGGCUCAGGUCAUGAUCUCACGGUUUGUGAGCUCAAGCCCAUUGGGCUCUGUUGACAGCUCGGAGCUUCAGACUCUGUCUGCCCUUCUCUCUCUGCCCCUCCCCUCCUUGUGCUCUGUCUCUC